GACGAACGCUGGCGGCGUGCUUAACACAUGCAAGUCGAACGAUGAAGCCGGAGCUUGCUCUGGUGAAUUAGUGGCGAACGGGUGAGUAACACGUGAGUAACCUGCCCUUGACUCUGGGAUAACUGCUAGAAAUGGUAGCUAAUACCGGAUACGACCCUCGGAGGCAUCUCCAGGGGGUGGAAAGAAUUUCGGUCAAGGAUGGACUCGCGGCCUAUCAGCUAGUUGGUGAGGUAACGGCUCACCAAGGCGACGACGGGUAGCCGGCCUGAGAGGGUGACCGGCCACACUGGGACUGAGACACGGCCCAGACUUCUACGGGAGGCAGUAGUGGGGAAUAUUGCACAAUGGGCGCAAGCCUGAUGCAGCAACGCCGCGUGAGGGAUGACGGCCUUCGGGUUGUAAACCUCUUUUAGUAGGGAAGAAGCGAAAGUGACGGUACCUGCAGAAAAAGCACCGGCUAACUACGUGCCAGCAGCCGCGGUAA
This 484-nucleotide ribosomal RNA is filed under the name uncultured bacterium. RNAcentral's name for it is "partial 16S ribosomal RNA". It matches the Rfam family "Bacterial small subunit ribosomal RNA", at positions 28 to 523 of the family's 1533-position model. The record is from RNAcentral.